Molecule: ribosomal RNA, 615 nt
Filed under: uncultured bacterium
Lineage: Bacteria
Description: bacterial SSU rRNA
Rfam family: Bacterial small subunit ribosomal RNA
Source: RNAcentral
CAGCCUAACACAUGCAAGUCGAGCGGAUGAGAAGAGCUUGCUCUUCGAUUCAGCGGCGGACGGGUGAGUAAUGCCUAGGAAUCUGCCUGGUAGUGGGGGACAACGUUUCGAAAGGAACGCUAAUACCGCAUACGUCCUACGGGAGAAAGCAGGGUGACCUUCGGGCCUUGCGCUAUCAGAUGAGCCUAGGUCGGAUUAGCUAGUUGGUGAGGUAAUGGCUCACCAAGGCGACGAUCCGUAACUGGUCUGAGAGGAUGAUCAGUCACACUGGAACUGAGACACGGUCCAGACUCCUACGGGAGGCAGCAGUGGGGAAUAUUGGACAAUGGGCGAAAGCCUGAUCCAGCCAUGCCGCGUGUGUGAAGAAGGUCUUCGGAUUGUAAAGCACUUUAAGUUGGGAGGAAGGGUUGUACGUUAAUACCGUGCAAUUUUGACGUUACCGACAGAAUAAGCACCGGCUAACUCUGUGCCAGCAGCCGGCGGUAAUACAGAGGGUGCNAGCGUUAAUCGGAAUUACUGGGCGUAAAAGCGCGCGUAGGUAGGGUUCGNUAAGUUGGACUGUGAAAUCCCGGGCUCAACCUGGGGAACUGCAUUCCAAAACUGGGGAAGCUAAAG